GGGCCUGUGAUGUUGCCGAACGUUACUUUGCUGGCACCGGUCUUCUAAACCGAGGGUCGCUGGUUCGAAUCCAGCCGGGCGCGCCA
Molecule: transfer RNA, 86 nt
Filed under: Acidobacteriota bacterium
Lineage: Bacteria; Pseudomonadati; Acidobacteriota
Description: tRNA-Ser
Rfam family: tRNA (bases 11-77)
About the family: Transfer RNA (tRNA) molecules are approximately 80 nucleotides in length. Their secondary structure includes four short double-helical elements and three loops (D, anti-codon, and T loops).
Source: RNAcentral